Molecule: long non-coding RNA, 4326 nt
Filed under: Homo sapiens (human)
Lineage: Eukaryota; Metazoa; Chordata; Mammalia; Primates; Hominidae
Description: HSALNT0339267
Source: RNAcentral
AUUUCUAUCUACACUUAAGUUUUGAAAGAAGGAAAGAAAGAAAGAGAGACAGAAAAAGAAAGAAAGAAAAGAAAGAGAGAAAGAAAGGUUGCUGUAGUUAGAGUCAGAAGAAGAGUUUGUUGAAGAAGUAGAAUUUGUUGAAGUUGUUAAUUCUGGUAAUAACUGCUAACCAGCUGCUAGAUAGAAAAUAUGAAGAGAGAAAAAUCGAGCCCUAGGUCACCAUUACUUCACUGUGCCUCUGACAUUAGCUCUUCCCCCAGGAUAUACAUAGGAGAUAUGCUUCCUGAGAGAAAGGACCACGCUUCUCCUGUUUACCAUGCUGUCUCCCACUCUAGCACAUCCUUCAGCGAUGCUGACCGGUGGAAACCAGAGCAGUACCUCGUGUAUACUACGCUAUCGUAAGCUAUUAUAAGCAUUGUUCUUUUUCUUCUCCCACCCAGAAACCUGAAGGUUUUCUUUUCCUUACUCUGUUCCUCUGUGAGUUUUGAGAAUUUCUGUACCUCUCUUAUGAUACACGAUAUUACUGGCAUAGUGCGUUCAUAACACUUCCUAGAUGCUACUCAUAUGUGGCAUGAGCCUUCUUAAUCAACACUAAACUCCUUCUAAACUAAAAAGCAUAAUCCCUGUUACUUAUAUCUGUAUUUAAAGUGGAGUUUUCCCUGAGUUGUUUCUUUUUCUUUUUUUUUUUUUUGAGACGGAGUCUCGCAUUGUUGCCCAGGCUGGAGUGCAGUGGCGCGAUUUCGGCUCACUGCAAGCCUAGCGGGUUCACGCCAUUCUCCUGCCUCAGCCUCCCAAGUAGCUGGGACUGCAGGCGUGUGCCAUCAUGCCUGGUAAAUUUUUUUGUAUCUUUAGUAGAGAGCGGGUCUUACCGUGUUAGCCAGGAUGGUCUCGAUCCCCUGACCUUGUGAUCCACCUGCCUCGGCCUCCCAAAGUGCUGGGAUUACAGGCGUGAGCCACCGCGCCCGGCUCCUGAGUUGUUUCUUGUAGAUGAAACAGUAAUUUCUUGGUCUGCUUAUAUUAUUUUGCAAACUUGUCUUUUACUUUCACCUAAAUUGUUAGGAUAAAGUAAAGAUUUAGACUGAUUAUUGGUACAGUUGCAUCUCACUACUAUUGUACUGUUCACUAUUUCACAUAUACAAUAAGAAACUAUAUAUCCCUAUAUUAUAUUUGCCUAAAGGCAGAAGGAAGAUUAAAGGUACCAUCUAACUCAGUGUUUGCUCAUUAUGCUCAUUUUCAUGUUGACAAACUUCUUUAUGAAUAUAACAAUUAUUCCUUGAUUUCUGCAACUCAUGGCAGCACUAAAAUAGAUUACAGCUCCAGGUUUAUGUUCUGCUUACAUUCAGGACAAGGGCUCUGAACAAUUGCACAUUUCCAGGAGAGGAGUUUCCAUGGAAACUUGGACAAAGGCAAAACAAAAUAAUUCUUCAAGGCCUAUGAGAAAAAAAUUUCACCUUGCUUUUUAUUUGCAGUUCUGUGUCCCCUGAGCAGUUCAGCCAGCUUGCAGCUGCCCUUGCUCUCUAGGAAUCCCCGUUUGAAAAUUAUAUAUAGCAUUAUGCAUCUCUGAAAUCUGCAAAAUAGGAUUUGAUGAGUGUAAAUGAAGAGUUAUUUCUCUGGAAGGCUCAAACCCAGAGGUUUAUUACAAUACAAUUUUUAAAAGUUAAAGCAUACAUUUAAGUAGCCACUGAAUUUAUGAAUAUGGAGGUGUUUUUCAAAUUAUAAAAUCCUUAAAAUAGGCCUCAAGAAGAGAGUUUUAGGAUAAAUAAAUGGAAUCAGUGAUUAGAGACAAUUAGGCAUUUCAAGGCAAUUUGCUAGCUGAAAAUAAAGACCAGGUCAAAUGAUUUUCGGUAAAUGUAUGGAUCAUAUAUCUUGGGUAAAAGGAAGUCAGGGGGUUCAUAUAAAGUCCUUCGGAGAAUGAUGUGUCUCCUGUUGGUUUGCAAAAUCCUGUACAGCACGCUGUCUUAUUUAUUCUUGUAUCUUCUAUGGCACUAAGCACAGUAUUUUUAAGGCACUUUGGGGGCUGGAUGGGUGUAGUGAAGAGCAUUCACCAUCUCCCUCAAGAGUCCAGCAUCACAGUCAGAAACAGAGUACUCUCUGCUUCCUAGGCAAAACUAUUGACACUAUUUAAUAACUUCAUCAUACAGUUCAUAUUUUAUCGAGGAACCUGCCCCGAUAGUCACAUAGGUUCUUUUCUAUUUUCCCUAAGCAUCGGCCGGUUUGAGAAAUAAAGGGACAGAGUACAAAAGAGAGAAAUUUUAAGGCUGGGCAUCCGGGGGAGACAUCACAUGUCAGUAGGUUCCGUGAUGCCCCACAAGCCACAAAACCAGCAAGUUUUUAUUGGGACUUUCAAAAGGGGAGGGAGUGUACAAAUAGGGUGUGGGUCACAAAGAUCCGUACUUCACAAGGUAAUAGAAUAUCACAAGGCAAAUGGAGGCAGGGCGAGAUCACAGGACCACAGGACCGGGGCAAAAUUAAAAUUGCUAAUGAAGUUUCGGGCACCAUUGUCAUUGAUAACAUCUUAUUAGGAGACAGGGUUUUGAGAGCAACAGGUCUGACCAAAAUUUAUUAGGCAGGAAUUUCCUCUUCCUAAUAAGCCUGGGAGUGCUGUGGGAGACUGGGGUUUAUUUCACCCCUACAGUCUCUACCAUAGAAGACGGCCACACCCAAGGGGGCCAUUUAUAGACCCACCCUCAGGGGCAUAUUCUCUUUCUCAGGGAUGUUCCUUGCUGAGAAAAAGAAUUCAGUGAUAUUUCUCCCAUUUGCCUUUGAAAGAAGAGAAAUAUGGCUCUGUUCUGCCCGGCUCACCGGUGGUCAGAGUUUAAGGUUAUCUCUCUUAUUCCCUGAACAAUUGCUGUUAUCCUGUUCUUUUUUUCAAGGUGCCCAGAUUUCAUAUUGUUCAAACACACAUGCUCUACAAUUUGUGCAGUUAACGCAAUUAUCACAGGGUCCUGAGGCGACAUACAUCCUCCUCAGCUGACAAGAUUAAGAGAUUAAAGACAGGCAUAGGAAAUCACAAGGGUAUUGAUUGGGGAAGUGAUAAGUGUCCAUGAAAUCUUCACAAUUUAUGUUUAGAGACUGCAGUAAAGACAGGCAUAAGAAAUUAUAAAAAUAUUAAUUUGGAAAACAAAUAAAUGUCCAUGAAAUCUUCAUAAUCCACGUUCUUCUGCCAUGGCUUCAGCCAGUCCCUCUGUUUGGGGUCCCUGACAUCCCGCAAUAAUAUUUCACUUUCUUUUCGUUAUUGAGCUUAAUUGUAAUCAUAUUCAGAAACAUAUCCACUCUUCGAUGCAUUCUUUCAACAAUAACUUCUGAAUAAUAUACCAAGUACUAUGCCAGGAAUGUGCCCUCAAGGAGUCCAUAAAGGGCUGCUGACUUUAAAAAAAGAUGAUACAAAACUAAAGAAAAACACAGACAACAAAAUGUGGUUACUGUACUCUGUAAUAUCUCAUAAUGUUGAGGACUGUCAUGGGUUUUAUGGGUGUCCAGAGCAGGGGCAUGUGACUCAGCUCAGUGGUGCCUGUCAUAUGGGGGUUAGAUCAGGUAAGGCCUUCACAGAGAAAUGUUUGUUCUCAGCGUUUUUGUUGUUGUUGUUGUUGUUGUUUGUUUGUGACAUGGAGUCUCGCUCUGUCACCCAGGCUGGAGUGCAGUGGCGUGAUCUCGGUUCACUGCAACGUCUGCCUCCCAGGUUCAAGUGAUUCUCCUGCCUCAGCCGCCCGAGUAGCUGCGACUACAGGCACAUGCCACCACACCCAGCUAAUUUUUUGUAUUUUUAUUAGAGACAGGGUUUCACCUUGUUAGCCAGGUUGGUCUCGACCUCCUGACCUCAUGAUUCACCUGGCUCGGCCUCCCAAAGUGCUAGGAUUACAGGUGUGAGCCACCGCACCCGGCCUGUUCUCAGUCUUGAAGGAUGAUUAGAUGUGAAUAAGGCAUUCAAGCAGGGAAACACAUUCAGAGAGAGGAAACAUAUGUAAAAACACAGGAACAUGGAAGAAUGCCAAUGUUUCAGGCACUGAACAUUGGGUUUAAUGUAAGGAGUAAUGGGCAUGAGCUUGAAGAAGGCAGAAGCCAGGUCCUCAAAUGCCUUUAUGUGAAGUUAACAAGUGGGAAUUUUAUGCUAAAGAUAGGGAACCCAGUGAGUUAUCUCAGUGAAAGAAGGGCUAAAUCUGUACCAUUGUCCUAAUUUAAGUGUUAGGGGCAGAGGAAGUCCGUAAUAGAAGGGAGACCAGUUACGGGGCAAAGAGGCAAUAUUGACUCCCUAUAGUGAGGGUCAAAACUACAGUGGUAUAGACAACAUGGAAGGGAUAAGGAGAUCUGGAAGAUAGAUGAGCUUGG